This 876-nucleotide long non-coding RNA is filed under the name Populus trichocarpa (black cottonwood). RNAcentral describes it as "long non-coding RNA (PTRI_LNC001496)". Lineage: Eukaryota; Viridiplantae; Streptophyta; Magnoliopsida; Malpighiales; Salicaceae. The record is from RNAcentral.
GAAAUUGAAUCGAAGCCACAAACCACAAGGAAAUAAUAAUAAAACGUUGACAAGUCCACCAAGUUAUCCUCUUCCUUAAGUAAACGCAAUUGAAUAUUCCAGCAAGUUUCUAUAUAAAAUGGUUUUAGUAACAACAUAUUAGAGCUAUAGCAAGCCUUGUGUUAGGAGCAUAUAUCUUAGGAAAUUAAGAUGGCGAGAGAGUUCAUAGUUCAUGAUGGUAGUACUGUCCAUUCAGAAGCAGGCUUCCUACUUGAUUCCUCUGAGGCUUUUCUGUUGUUAUGCAUGAUUGUUGUUUCCUUGUCAAUUAUUUCAAUGGUCAUAUUCGCUUGUGGUGAUAGUGGUUCAGGCGGAGGUGGAGGCCGCCGCAGAAAAUCUGGAGGAGGUGGUUGUGGUGGAGGUGGUUGUGGUGGAGGUGAUGGAGGAGGUGGUUGUGGUGGAGGUGGUGGUUGUGGUGGAGGUACUGGAGGAGGUGGUUGUGGUGGAGGUACUGGAGGUGGUUAAAAACUUUUGUGGAGUUAUUUGCAGUCGCCGGGGGGGGGGGGGGGGGUUAAGAUUUCUCAUGCUCUUUGAGCAUUAUUGUUAGCUUUCAUUUAUUUAUUUAAUAAAGUUUCUCAAGCCAUUUUACACAUCCAUCGAGCUUAAAUAGCUUUUAUAAAUCACUUUAAAGCAGCAUUUUGUGCAUUCAAGGUAUGCUAUAGUAUAAAUCUACGAAGUUAACGAAUAAAACAUAUCUUUUUAACAAACCAAUAGUUAAGAUUAAUAAUCAUAUUAUUUAAAUCAUAUCGUUUACAUUUUAAUUUUACUUAUUGACUUGAAUUCCUUGUAUCCUAUUAUAGCAUGGUUUAAUUCUUAACAUUAACAAAACCAAAAUACCGU